CCUUACUGCUAUCGGGGUGGGGCUAAGCCAUGCAAGUUGCGCGCUUCUAAGCUAUGGUAGAGGAGCAGCGUAAGGCUCAGUAAAACAUGGUUAAUUUGCCCUCGAGACGGGGAUACUCCCGGGAAACUGGGGUUAAACCCCGAUAGAUGAGGUGGCCUGGAAUGGUAUCUCAUUUAAAAAGCGUCAAGACCAUGCUUCUUGGCGUUGCUCGAGGAUAGGACCAUGUCCGAUCAGGCUGUUGGCGAGGUAACGGCUCACCAAACCUAUAACCGGUACGGGCCGUGAGAGCGGGAGCCCGGAGAUGGAUCCUGAGACAAGGAUCCAGGUCCUACGGGGCGCAGCAGGCGCGAAAACUCCGCAAUGCGCGAAAGCGUGACGGGGUCACCCCGAGUGCACCUGCUGAAGGUAACUUUUCCUCAGUCUAAUCAGCUGGGGGUAAAAGGAGAGGGCAAGUCUGGUGUCAGCCGCCGCGGUAAUACCAGCUCCCCGAGUGGUGAGGACGAUAUUGGGCCUAAAGCGUCCGUAGCCGGCUUGGUAAGUUUCCCGUUAAAUCCGACGAUUCAAUCGUUGGGCUGCGGGAAAUACUGUUAAGCUAGGAGGCGGGAGAGGCCGGCGGUACUUUUGGGGUAGGGGUGAAAUCCUAUAAUCCCAAGAGGACCACCAGUGGCGAAGGCGGCCGGCCAGAACGCACUCGACGGUGAGGGGCGAAAGCUGGGGGAGCAAACCGGAUUAGAUAACCGGGUAGUCCCAGCUGUAAACUAUGCGGGCUAAGUGUCGGGAUAGCCAUAGAGCUAUUCCGGUGCUGCAGGGAAGCCGUUAAGCCCGCCGCCUGGGGAGUACGGCCGCAAGGUUGAAACUUAAAGGAAUUGGCGGGGGAGCACCACAAGGGGUGAAGCUUGCGGUUCA
This 906-nucleotide ribosomal RNA is filed under the name uncultured crenarchaeote. Its description in RNAcentral is "bacterial SSU rRNA". It matches the Rfam family "Archaeal small subunit ribosomal RNA", at positions 21 to 904 of the family's 1478-position model. The record is from RNAcentral. Lineage: Archaea; Thermoproteati; Thermoproteota.